CCGGCGGCUGCCGCAGUUACUGUCUGGGUGUAGCCGCGGCUCAGGCAGGACGGGCGGGCAGAAGUCGGGAGCUCGGGGUGGGGUGGGUGGGGGGCAACGCUCUUCUCUCCUUUAAGAGGCGAUUUCGUCGAAGGGCUGCAGCAGCCUGGUCGCUUAAAGAAUGUGAGGAACUGCCGAGCUGUAUUCUGACAUCACUGUGGGUAAACCAAUCUCAUUCAAAACGAGGACAAUGAUUCCUGGAUCAGGUAGCAAAUGUGAUAAUUUUGGCCCAGCAACUCUUCAGGAUAGAACUGUGCAUUCAGUCUGUCAAAGUCUUGAAGAUUCUUUUUAGUGAGAGUUGGUGGGGAGGCAAGAUGUUGGCAUAGCUGAUGAACUAAGAACCUGCUAUGCCAACAUAUUGCCCUCUUUCCUGUCUGUCUGCUGCAAACACCUCGUCAUGUUGGAUGCUCCUCAAACAAGCUUUCCUUUGUAUUAACUAACAUAUGUUUCAGUAUAGUGUAGCACUCUGGAACCAUACAAGCAAAAGACAAGCAAGAUUGUUGAUAUGAUUUGAGUACAGGGGUGUUUGUUAAUGGGGUCUCAAUUGUGUUGGAAACUGUGUCAAACUCUCAAAGAGGUGGGAUGAAAUGUUUUUAAACAAAUGCAUCAACAUAAAUCAUUUCUGGAAUUACCUGCUUUGUUUCUAUAACGAGAGAUGCCCUUGGAGGUAUAAUGCACUUAAUGCUCUUCUGUGGUGGUCUAAACUUUUGCCCC
Sphaerodactylus townsendi is the source of this 753-nucleotide long non-coding RNA. RefSeq lists it as uncharacterized. The record is from RefSeq and is a predicted model, not a curated record. NCBI's taxonomy places the organism in Eukaryota, Metazoa, Chordata, Lepidosauria, Squamata, Sphaerodactylidae. The transcript is spliced from 3 exons.